GUUUUUACAGGCCAAUACAUACUCCUCGGCUCACAAGCGACGAGCAAAAAAGUCCAUGGAACGCGGCCGGCCAACCGUCCGUGCAGACUACUCAUCUCCAUACCGGUUUACUCCCACCCUCCCCAAUGGUUACAGCAGAAUUCAGCCUAUUCAUUGAAUAUCUGGUGCUCAGACUGGGCCUAGGGAGUGGACCGAGGGCGGAGACAUCUCCCACGUUCAGUCGACUCGUUGAUGACCGCGUAGACAGCCCUCGAGACGUCGAAACAGAAGUAUCUCCAGAAGAAGCGGCACCACGGAGAUUACUCAGAGAAGGACGAGAAGAAAUGGAUGGUGCUCUAACAGGAGGGGAAUAGGUACUACCCACAGAUCCAGCUACGAGAAAUAUACAUUCUCCUCUUGUUAUCGUUGCUAACUAUACGCGCUCCGCCGGACAAGGCCGACAACCCACCACUCGGUAAACCCUUUCCCACACCAGAGAAGGAUGCUUCGGCGUGACCAGGGAUCAUACUCAACCUCUGUUUCGGCCUGCCAUGUCUGUCGGGACCAAUCAUCGAGUCUCGUCUGUGUAGCGGCACCGGAGGAGGGAGCAUUGUUCCGGCAGUCGCUGAUGCAGGCAUAGCGAUUUUGACGUUAGCGAAAGCAGAAGAACCAUUGGCUUUAGCAGCCGAUGAUGCUGUGGGCUUCAAGAGGCUGGAAGUGGAUGAAGAGGAAGGAGGAUUUGGUUGAGCAGAAGUUUGAAUGGACAUCUCGGACAAAGGGCCCGGUCGACCAGGCUUGGCUGAUGAGCCCACAGAGCCAGCACGGCUAGAGCCCGAAGUGGGAGAUUUUGAGUCAAAACUUAGGUUUCCCCCAACACUGUCGCCAGACUGCGAAAUUAAACCUCGAGCCAUCCUCAUCUGCUUCCAUGCUGGGAUCUCUUCACUUGCGCUGAUAUUUGAGGUUGAAGGAACUGGAGAUGCUGAAGCGCAUGAUGUAGUGGAAGAAGCUGGCCUUAAAGAAGAAGGAAUCAUAGAGACAUGAUUGGUCUCUUCUUCCAAAGCGCUAUUUUCACCGCCACUUCCUGGACUUGAGAAAACGGGACAGUCAGGAGCGAUGGAUCUGUCGUCGAUUUUGCCCUCUCCAGUCUCAUCUGGCCAACGAAUCUGCCUAGGUUUGACCUCGAUUGCUUUUUCAGGCACCGACAUUCCACCAAACAAAUUCUUUCGGAGAACACUCUUGGGGGAGGCAUUGUGAGAUGCACGCAUGGGGGAAGGGGCAUGCCGGCCAAUGGAUACUCGCCGUGGAGAUGGAGCAGCCAGUGACACAGGUAAGCGAUGUUGAGAAGGGGCGGCAGGCAGUGAAUGGCUCUUCCCAAAUAGUGCAGCUGUACUUUGAUCGACUUGAUUCCCCAGAGCAAGGAGUCUACUCUUGACAGAUGCUAGAUCGUCGCCUGACUGCAUGGAUUGGACGGCAAUGAUCUCCGAUUGAAGCUGAUUUGAGAAUCUGGAGAAGGCUGAAGCGGCUUUAGCUAGAGCCUCUGCUUGCUGUGAGAUGUAAUCUCUGAGGCCUCGCUCCCUAGCUGCUGCGACGCUCCUGGCGGUAUGCGCCUUGUGCUCUGCUACCUUCAAUUGGUGUUGAUAUAACGCUUCUUCAAUGUCCUCCCCAAACAUUUUCUCUUCUGCCUUCUUGAGCAAGUUGGUGAGGGUAAUGUAUUUGAGACUUUUGUUCUG
This 1709-nucleotide small RNA is filed under the name Cryptococcus neoformans H99. Its description in RNAcentral is "Cryptococcus neoformans var. grubii H99 hypothetical RNA". The record is from RNAcentral. Lineage: Eukaryota; Fungi; Basidiomycota; Tremellomycetes; Tremellales; Cryptococcaceae.